CUACGGGCGGCUGCUGUGGGGAAUAUUGCACAAUGGGCGCAAGCCUGAUGCAGCCAUGCCGCGUGUAUGAAGAAGGCCUUCGGGUUGUAAAGUACUUUCAGCGGGGAGGAAGGGAGUAAAGUUAAUACCUUUGCUCAUUGACGUUACCCGCAGAAGAAGCACCGGCUAACUCCGUGCCAGCAGCCGCGGUAAUACGGAGGGUGCAAGCGUUAAUCGGAAUUACUGGGCGUAAAGCGCACGCAGGCGGUUUGUUAAGUCAGAUGUGAAAUCCCCGGGCUCAACCUGGGAACUGCAUCUGAUACUGGCAAGCUUGAGUCUCGUAGAGGGGGGUAGAAUUCCAGGUGUAGCGGUGAAAUGCGUAGAGAUCUGGAGGAAUACCGGUGGCGAAGGCGGCCCCCUGGACGAAGACUGGCGCUCAGGUGCGAAAGCGUGGGGAGCAAACAGGAUUAGAUACCCGAGUAGUC
RNAcentral lists this ribosomal RNA (464 nucleotides) under uncultured bacterium. RNAcentral's name for it is "partial 16S ribosomal RNA". It matches the Rfam family "Bacterial small subunit ribosomal RNA", at positions 339 to 795 of the family's 1533-position model. The record is from RNAcentral.